RNAcentral lists this ribosomal RNA (1125 nucleotides) under Triticum aestivum (bread wheat). RNAcentral describes it as "partial small subunit ribosomal RNA". The record is from RNAcentral. Lineage: Eukaryota; Viridiplantae; Streptophyta; Magnoliopsida; Poales; Poaceae.
AUGCACAUGAUGGCGAGGCGAGAGCGAGAUGUGGAUUUUUUCUUCAAGUACUUGGUAGACGAGCAUGGCCAUCUGAAGGGACUGUUCUGGGCUGAUAGUCAAUCGCGACUUGACUACGAGGCUUUCGGAGACGUCAUUGUUUUCGAUAGCACAUACAGAACCAACAAAUACAAUCUGCCAUUCGUGCCUUUUGUCGGGUUGAAUCACCACCGCAUCACUGUUAUAUUUGGCCGUGGUAUAAUUUCUCAUGAAACAAGCCAGGCAUACGAGUGGAUGUUGCAGACCUUUUCUGAUUGCGUGGCACAGAAGCAUCCGAUAUCUGUGAUCACAGAUGGGGACCUUGCAAUGCAGAGAGCAAUAAGGGUGGUCUGGCCAGACUCAAACCAUAGACUAUGUAUAUGGCACAUUCAGCAGAACAUUGUACGCCAUCUGCAUGAUGACGACGUAAAGGAGGAAUUCAGAUCUUUCAUUUAUGAUACUUCUUCCAUUGAAGAGCAUGAGAUAAAAUGGAUACAAAUCUUACAACAGAAUAAAGUAACCAGUGAGGAGUCUUGGCUGCAUCAGAUGUAUCAGAUGAGAAAGUUGUGGUGUGCUCCAUAUCUUGAGGGGCGUUGUUUCCUAGGAUUGAGCAGCAAUCAGAGGAGUGAGAGCUUGAACUCUGUGCUACAUACGCAUUUUGAGGGUAAGAUGUCGUUGUUUGAAAUGCUAGAACACUAUGAGCGUUGUCUUGCGUCGCGAUGGAUUAACGAAGCUCUCCAUGACGUCGAAGCCUUGCGGUUCGUUCCAUUUACAGAGGAAAAUGCUUCGCCGCUUGAGAAACACGCCGUAACAGUUUUCACACCUAGUGUCUUUAAGAUGGUCUUAUGGAGCAUAGAUGCUGUCAGCAAAUGUCAGAUUAGAGAGAUACUAGAUGGAUCAGAAGAUUCCACUUAUGUUGUGUCCAAGCAGGAAAGAAUGGAUAAAAAGUUUGGAGUGCGCAUUGAAGAGCAAGGAGGUCUUUUGCACAGGGUGAGUUGUUCUUGCCGUAAGCUGGAAUGCGCAGGCACACCAUGUUCCCACAUUUUUUACAUAUUGGGGAUUUUAAAACAAACAAUUCUGCCCGGUUGUUGCGUUCCCACUAGGUGA